UACGGAGGGUGCGAGCGUUAUCCGGAAUUACUGGGUUUAAAGGGUGCGUAGGCGGUCUUAUAAGUCAGUGCUGAAAUAUCCCGGCUUAACCGGGAGGGUGGCAUUGAUACUGUAGGACUUGAGUAAAGUUGAGGUUGGCGGAAUUGACGGUGUAGCGGUGAAAUGCUUAGAUAUCGUCAAGAACACCUAUUGCGAAGGCAGCUAACUAAGCUUUAACUGACGCUGAGGCACGAAAGUGUGGGGAUCAAACAGG
RNAcentral lists this ribosomal RNA (253 nucleotides) under uncultured bacterium. RNAcentral's name for it is "partial 16S ribosomal RNA". It matches the Rfam family "Bacterial small subunit ribosomal RNA", at positions 524 to 776 of the family's 1533-position model. The record is from RNAcentral.